Long non-coding RNA from Lathyrus oleraceus (garden pea), 957 nucleotides. RefSeq lists it as uncharacterized. The transcript has 3 exons. The record is from RefSeq and is a predicted model, not a curated record. NCBI's taxonomy places the organism in Eukaryota, Viridiplantae, Streptophyta, Magnoliopsida, Fabales, Fabaceae.
GUUGCGAGAUAUGGAACAAACUUAUUCACAAGCUGAGCCAAAGAAACAUUUCGCAGAAAGCGGCGGAUUCAAACGUUUAUCAACAACGCAUCAUUGAUCCAAAAGCUUAUGCAAGCCGACGUGUUUCUGUCACCGGUCCGGCUCACAUCUAACACAUUAUCAUCAUGUCUUCAUCGUUGUUUAUCCCAUAGCAUGGCGAUCUCGUGGAUUGCAAUAACACGUUCGAAUCCUUUCGCGGCAUGUAGCUUCGCGUCUCAGCAUUGAUGUCAUCACCUCUGCAUCGAUUCCGGAGCCCCAACCAUUGCAUCAAUUCGCAGCAGAGAAGGGAGUUCGUGGAUUGCGUUCGACACUUGAUUCCAUCCAUUACCGUGUGUGCAGACUCAAACAGAAAGAAAUCAAAUUCCAGAGAACUUAUCGGAUUCGACACUUCAACCGCAAACAUGUUGUAAUGUUAUCAGUUUUCCUGCACUGUGAUUGAUUUGGGAAUAUUCGGUUAGUUGGUUAUUUAGUUUUUUUUUUCUGUUAUCUUACUCUGUUUUCUUUUCAGUUUGGCCUGUAACAAAGGAUUGCAGGAUCACUGCCGAUUGUAGGUUCGCAAGCUAGACUGGAGUUUGUAGAAUGGUUAAUGGAUUUGAGGAUGACUUGUUAUUGCAGGGCUGCUUAUUGUGUUGCUUGCAUUGAUCAAGGCUUUCAAGCAUGGCCCUCAUGAAGCUUCCAUGGUAAUGAUCAACAGCAAAGCAAUCCUACUUAUACAUGAAGUUAUUGUUAGGUGGAAUAUGUAUCAUGGAGUAUGAACCAUGAGGAAUGGACGUUAUGAAGUUAGGACUUUACCAGAAGUAUGUUGACUUUGGUCAAAGUUGAUCAAAAAGUCAACUGUUGACCAAAGUCAACUUUGAUCAAUGUUGUACUAUUUUUUUUGGUGAUUUUUUUAUGAAAAAUGAUGAAUUUGAAUGAGCA